This 23-nucleotide non-coding RNA is filed under the name Drosophila melanogaster (fruit fly). The record is from RNAcentral. RNAcentral also lists the same sequence under 4 other names. Lineage: Eukaryota; Metazoa; Arthropoda; Insecta; Diptera; Drosophilidae.
UGGCAAGAUGUUGGCAUAGCUGU